CGAACGGGUGAGUAACGCGUGAGCAACCUGCCUAUGACAGUGGGAUAGCCUCGGGAAACCGGGAUUAAUACCGCAUAAAAUCGUAGAAACACAUGUUUCAACGGUCAAAGAUUUAUCGGUCAUAGAUGGGCUCGCGUCUGAUUAGCUAGUUGGUGAGAUAACAGCCCACCAAGGCGACGAUCAGUAGCCGGUCUGAGAGGAUGAACGGCCACAUUGGAACUGAGACACGGUCCAAACUCCUACGGGAGGCAGCAGGU
RNAcentral lists this ribosomal RNA (257 nucleotides) under uncultured Finegoldia sp. RNAcentral's name for it is "partial 16S ribosomal RNA". It matches the Rfam family "Bacterial small subunit ribosomal RNA", at positions 99 to 354 of the family's 1533-position model. Lineage: Bacteria; Bacillati; Bacillota; Tissierellia; Tissierellales; Peptoniphilaceae. The record is from RNAcentral.